GGCGUGCCUAAUACAUGCAAGUCGAACGCUUCUUUUUCCACCGGAGCUUGCUCCACCGGAAAAAGAGGAGUGGCGAACGGGUGAGUAACACGUGGGUAACCUGCCCAUCAGAAGGGGAUAACACUUGGAAACAGGUGCUAAUACCGUAUAACAAUCGAAACCGCAUGGUUUUGAUUUGAAAGGCGCUUUCGGGUGUCGCUGAUGGAUGGACCCGCGGUGCAUUAGCUAGUUGGUGAGGUAACGGCUCACCAAGGCCACGAUGCAUAGCCGACCUGAGAGGGUGAUCGGCCACAUUGGGACUGAGACACGGCCCAAACUCCUACGGGAGGCAGCAGUAGGGAAUCUUCGGCAAUGGACGAAAGUCUGACCGAGCAACGCCGCGUGAGUGAAGAAGGUUUUCGGAUCGUAAAACUCUGUUGUUAGAGAAGAACAAGGAUGAGAGUAACUGUUCAUCCCUUGACGGUAUCUAACCAGAAAGCCACGGCUAACUACGUGCCAGCAGCCGCGGUAAUACGUAGGUGGCAAGCGUUGUCCGGAUUUAUUGGGCGUAAAGCGAGCGCAGGCGGUUUCUUAAGUCUGAUGUGAAAGCCCCCGGCUCAACCGGGGAGGGUCAUUGGAAACUGGGAGACUUGAGUGCAGAAGAGGAGAGUGGAAUUCCAUGUGUAGCGGUGAAAUGCGUAGAUAUAUGGAGGAACACCAGUGGCGAAGGCGGCUCUCUGGUCUGUAACUGACGCUGAGGCUCGAAAGCGUGCAGAGCAAACAGGAUUAGAUACCCUGGUAGUCCACGCCGUAAACGAUGAGUGCUAAGUGUUGGAGGGUUUCCGCCCUUCAGUGCUGCAGCUAACGCAUUAAGCACUCCGCCUGGGGAGUACGACCGCAAGGUUGAAACUCAAAGGAAUUGACGGGGGCCCGCACAAGCGGUGGAGCAUGUGGUUUAAUUCGAAGCAACGCGAAGAACCUUACCAGGUCUUGACAUCCUUUGACCACUCUAGAGAUAGAGCUUCCCCUUCGGGGGCAAAGUGACAGGUGGUGCAUGGUUGUCGUCAGCUCGUGUCGUGAGAUGUUGGGUUAAGUCCCGCAACGAGCGCAACCCUUAUUGUUAGUUGCCAUCAUUCAGUUGGGCACUCUAGCAAGACUGCCGGUGACAAACCGGAGGAAGGUGGGGAUGACGUCAAAUCAUCAUGCCCCUUAUGACCUGGGCUACACACGUGCUACAAUGGGAAGUACAACGAGUCGCGAAGUCGCGAGGCUAAGCUAAUCUCUUAAAGCUUCUCUCAGUUCGGAUUGCAGGCUGCAACUCGCCUGCAUGAAGCCGGAAUCGCUAGUAAUCGCGGAUCAGCACGCCGCGGUGAAUACGUUCCCGGGCCUUGUACACACCGCCCGUCACACCACGAGAGUUUGUAACACCCGAAGUCGGUGAGGUAACCUUUUGGAGCCAGCCGCCUAAG
RNAcentral lists this ribosomal RNA (1448 nucleotides) under Enterococcus faecium. RNAcentral describes it as "bacterial SSU rRNA". It matches the Rfam family "Bacterial small subunit ribosomal RNA". The record is from RNAcentral. Lineage: Bacteria; Bacillati; Bacillota; Bacilli; Lactobacillales; Enterococcaceae.